Molecule: ribosomal RNA, 253 nt
Filed under: uncultured bacterium
Lineage: Bacteria
Description: partial 16S ribosomal RNA
Rfam family: Bacterial small subunit ribosomal RNA
Source: RNAcentral
UACGAAGGGGGCUAGCGUUGCUCGGAAUCACUGGGCGUAAAGGGUGCGUAGGCGGGUCUUUAAGUCAGGGGUGAAAUCCUGGAGCUCAACUCCAGAACUGCCUUUGAUACUGAAGAUCUUGAGUUCGGGAGAGGUGAGUGGAACUGCGAGUGUAGAGGUGAAAUUCGUAGAUAUUCGCAAGAACACCAGUGGCGAAGGCGGCCAGCUAGACCAGUUCUGACACUGAGGCGCGACAGCGUGGGGAGCAAACAGG